UCUCACAGCAGUUCUUAUUCCAAUGGCUGGGAGGGGACAACCAAGCCCGGGGGGCUGAACCCCUUUGAGAAGGGGUGUGGGGGGGUAGGUCAGUCGAGAGCCCCUCAUCACCACUCCUGGGGUGGUGGAGGCAAAGCUGGGGCUGGGCUAAGGCAGGGGGAUCUGCACCUUUGUGUGGAACAUCUGCCAGGGCAAAUCACCCUCCCCAGUUCCUGGGGCUCCAUAAUGAGUUCCCCAAGUCCUGGAGACAAGAAGAGCCUUGAGGAGAAGGGGCACCUGGAACCCCAAAAUGCUCCCAAGCGGGUGAGGGACUGGAGCAGCCAGCACAGCCCAGGAUCCAGGGGUUAAAUCCCCCGGCUGCAGGUGCCCCACGGUGUCAAUGGCAGCCCUGGGGCGCAGGCACCCACCCUGUCCUGAUGUUCACUGUGGCUGCAGAGCCCUGCCAAGCCUUCCACCUGGCAAGCACCGGCGUCUCAUAAGGAAUACACAGCUCAGGGCUGGAAAAUAAACAUCUUUCUGUUUCUCCUUGCCUGGGGAGUUCAGC
Molecule: long non-coding RNA, 544 nt
Filed under: Gallus gallus (chicken)
Lineage: Eukaryota; Metazoa; Chordata; Aves; Galliformes; Phasianidae
Source: RNAcentral